UUAUUAGAUCAAAACCAAACGGCUUCGGCCGUUCCACUGGUGAUUCUGAAUAACUUUGGGCUGAUCGAAUGGCUUCACGCCGUCGACGUAUCAUUCUAAGGUGUGCCCUAUCAACUGUCGACUGUGAUAUAGACGCUCACAGUGGUUUUGACGGGUAACGGGGAAUCAGGGUUCGAUUCCGGAGAGGGAGCCUGAGAAACGGCUACCACUUCUACGGAAGGCAGCAGGCACGCAAAUUACCCACUGGUCGAAGACCGAGGUAGUGACGAAAAAUAACGAUAUCGGACUCAUCCGAGGCCCGAUAAUCGGAAUGAGUACACUUUAAAUCCUUUAACGAGGACCCAUUGGAGGGCAAGUCUGGUGCCAGCAGCCGCGGUAAUUCCAGCUCCAAUAGCGUAUAUUAAAGUUGUUGCGGUUAAAAAGCUCGUAGUUGGAUCUCGGCAGGUAGGGGGCGGUUCGUUGUAUGACGCUACUGUCCCAUUUACCUGUGUUUUUGACGGAGGUUUCGUGGUGCUCUUCACCGAGUGCUGCGGGAUGCCGUCAGGUUUACUUUGAAAAAAUUAGAGUGCUCAAAGC
This 576-nucleotide ribosomal RNA is filed under the name uncultured eukaryote. RNAcentral describes it as "SSU rRNA". It matches the Rfam family "Eukaryotic small subunit ribosomal RNA", at positions 203 to 781 of the family's 1831-position model. The record is from RNAcentral.